Long non-coding RNA from Lycium ferocissimum, 974 nucleotides. RefSeq lists it as uncharacterized. NCBI's taxonomy places the organism in Eukaryota, Viridiplantae, Streptophyta, Magnoliopsida, Solanales, Solanaceae. The transcript has 2 exons. The record is from RefSeq and is a predicted model, not a curated record.
GCUCGCAUCUUAUCUUCCAAUUUUAAUUUUGUUCAAAGUCAAAUUAAAUGUUGAGACUGCCAAAAUUAAGCCCAUUGUCGACAUUACUAAUCACCGCAGAUUGUGGACUGAUGUUCAUUUUGUGGUUUAGUAUGUUUUUUCGGUUAAGGUUGUGCUUUCGUAUACAUAAAUGAACUCAUCAUACGGGGCUUGCCUAGUGCUGGUUAUCUCUCCUGUGUGGUUUGCGAGCUAUUGCACAAGACCUGGGUUUACCCUGUGCGCUCCCGAAGGGUAGGGGCUGCGGGUUCUCAUGUCUCAAAAAAAAAAAAAAAUUUCUGCCUCUCAAUUUUUUUCACCUUGAGAAGCUCCUUAACAGUUGUGUGCGUUGCACACCUACCUUUGAACAACCUCUCUGAAGCAAUUCCCUACCUCGUAUCAUUUUGAAGUGGAUGAGCAGGUGGAUAACAUCCACUCCCUCUCCUUUACACAAGAUACACCAGCUAAUAUGAAUCUGUCUUUUCCGCAUGUUUAUUGACUUCUUCGAAGUUGGCUAUUCAUAUGAUUUACAACAUUGGACAAAACUUGACAUGUAGUAAAUGCUUUCCCUUGUUUUCCCACUGCUUCUAUUAUCUCUUCUGUUUCCUUUCAAUCAGCUAAAGUGUGUCAAAUUUCAGGUCUUUUACUGCAAAAAAAGAAGAAGUCAAUUUGACUCUUAUUUCAUGGUUAACUGUGACCAGAACCUAAGCUACUUUGACUCUGGGCUAUUUUAGAAAAGACCUUCUAUUCAAAACGUGCUUUGCAUUAUGCAACAUCAUUUGCAUUGUUAACGGACAAUAACUCUACAAGUGUUUAAAUUGAUUCAUUGGACAAAACUUGACAUGAAGUAAAUGCUUUCCCUUUGUUUCCCACUGCUUCUAUUAUCUCUUCUGUUUCCUUUCAAUCAGCUAAAUUGUGUCAAAUUUCAGGUCUUUUACUGCAAAAAAAGAAAAGAAGAA